Molecule: long non-coding RNA, 8648 nt
Organism: Bombus huntii
Lineage: Eukaryota; Metazoa; Arthropoda; Insecta; Hymenoptera; Apidae
Exons: 2
Source: RefSeq, a predicted model, not a curated record
GGCAAGCUAGAAAUAGCUCCGAAUGCGUUUUUAGACGGUUGCUGUUAUAGGGCGCUUGCGAGGAUUUAAAAUUAAAAUGCGAAUUCCAAUUUUUCUCGUAGUAAUAUUUUGAGGUUUAUAUUUUAAAAUAUUUUACUUGCACGUGACAUCUGCUACUCUGCAUUUAUAAUUUAUUUCUCUAAUAAAAUGCUCAUGAAAUAUGAAAUAGUUGCUCCGGCUUUUUAAAUAAAUUCAUGCUUACGAGAACAUAAAAUUGAAACAAAAUUUCCAACUUUUGCCACUGUACUUUGUAUAUUUUAUUAUAAAUUUAUAUUCGAAGAACUUUAUUCGUUCGCGUAUCGAAUUUUCCACUUCUUUUAACGAACUGUCUCCGAAUGAGUUACCGUUUUUCUUUUCCAAUUUACUCCGGAUGAAUCAGUUUCUUCCUUCCUAAAUUCUCACACAUUUUUACAAGAACAUAAAGUUAGAAUUCGAUCAGCUAUUCUCCCUUUUGCAAAAAUUUAUUUAAGAAAGUUGAUAUCUGUGACAUCCGUUGCUUAUGGUAGCCUUGCAAAAUUUUUCUAUCCACGAAACUAUUGGCAAAAGAUGCGGGUCAGGAAGAGCGGUGGAAUUUUUUAACCGAGCGCCGCAUCGAAUUACAUUACACGCUGAAAGCAUAUAAUUUUAGGUUAAUGCAAAAGUUCUGUCAUCUUUUUGGGCUAAAAGGGUACUGUGAAUCUGUACGCGAGAAGGUGCAAUAUCGCGCAGAAAAUUGCAUUAACAGCGCAGAACGUGUCUCGACCUACUGUCACGUCGGCCGUGUUUCCAACUGACAGUCAUUGAACGCUUAUUACAUAUUCACACAACACUGUAUCACCUUGUCGAAACGAUCGUUUUCCUUGAUUCGACGUACGCGUAUGCUUAUUGUUAGUCCCGUAGCUCAUCGUCGAGUAGGCUAUUAUUAUUUUUCUACCAUAGCUGAGCUUCUAAUACGAUGUUAUUUAUAGAAAGACCGGAUACUAUCAUCGUAAUUCGAAGCGAAGAACAAUUUCUCGAUGGCACUUUUACACUUUUCGCUCUGUGGAAAUAGUUGGUUUCGACAGAACUGCAUCCACGACGGGAUUGUAACGGCACGGCGAGGUAGUACGUUCAAUGAUCGUUCGUAAAACGGAUUCCGCUUCUCUUCUCGCGGACGGCAGACGCUUGCACGGUUGAUUUGUAAAAGAAGCGUUUGGCGAAAAAGCCCGACAACGUCCGGAACCGUAUGAAACCGUUCUUCUUUUGCCCGCGCUUUUAUCAGCGUCGAACGUACGCUAGAUAAUAUCCUCGUAAAUAUAUGCAUGUACACUAUACGCUCUUCUGCCGUGCAUAUGCACCGCCGGAAGAACGCGCAAGAGACGAGACCCGUUGUUGCAACCAUCGAUCGCAAAAGUUAUGUAAUGAGUCUUCGCGAAAUCUAGGUUAUUCGAGUGCUUCUACCCCUCGUCGACACGCACUUCAACCCUUCAAAAACCUCGUACGUGCAAAAUUCCAUCCCCAUCGCAUUUAAUACGCAAUUCUUCCUUAUUUUUGCCUCGAUUUCGCCCUAGUAUCGUUCCGUAUUCGUAAACGUGGAUCUUCCCUUUUCAAAUUGUUUCGUUUCAGUCGUUUGAGAGAACUUGAGAAAAAAAUUUUCAAGAAAGACGCGUUUCUACGUGAUUGAUGCAAAACGAAGGGUCGUUUCCAUAGAGAAUGAUUCGUCCUAAAUCUUGCGACAAUCGAAGAGUUUAUUCACAGAUAAUAAUCCUUAAAGAGCCGAAGUCGCAGGUGCGAUUAGCUAGAUUUAUUUCAGCUCGCAUAAGUACGUAAGUACGGAAAGGGAUACGCGAAUCGACCGAUACUGCUCCCAGUUUGACCGGUAGUUUAUGAUCCGGAGGGAAUAUUAGGACUCGAGGAUUAAUUUUGCAGUUGCAAACUCCCUAAACUAGAGGGUGCGAUACAUUUACUUGUAUUGCUUACCCCGAACGUUAUGCGGCUACACCGAAAUCUGGGUUAUCGAGUUGGAGUUGUUGAAUUUCCUCCAAAGGCAGUCGUGCCUCUCGUCAGCACAUUUUGAUAGUUUCUAUCGCAUCUUUGCUCGCACAAAGGUCAAAACUGCAGGAAAUCCUCGAAUUAACGUACAACGCAAAAGUCGCGAAUAACCAAAAGAAUUACAUAAAUGGAAUGUCGUUUUCGAUAAAAUAGUUGGGUGGAAUGCACUUUCGUUGAAUAUCAUUCGGAAAUAACGUCAUUUCUCCUCUUCUUUGCGUCGAAAAAAUAUACCGCUUUUACUACAACUAUAUGUCACAGAAGUAUGUCACAACCGACAUUCGUUUUUACUUUAUCCUCUGCGGCUUUCGUAUUUCUUCUUACCUCUCUUUUUCCUUCUGUCUCCUCUAACACGCAACACGCGUUAUCAAAUUUCAAGCCAUUACACGCGAUGCAAUUAAAUCGAAAAUCUCUCUACCGUUCGAAAGUUCACGUUCGGUAUGCUCCGAGUUGCUCGUUUUACGGAUUUAACCAAACGAAUCGAAGCUCAGUUCGGAACGAAACAGAAACGAUCGGGGGGAAAACAGCCCGAGAGAAAAUCGAGGCCGUUUAAAGGCAUGGCUACGAUUGGCCACGACGUAGCGUGCCAAUUAAAUUUUAUUAUGAUAAUCGAGUCCGCGUCGGUGGCGGCGGAUCUUCAAAACGCUGCAUCUGGAAGCAGCCGCGGGCUGCGAACGGGACCGCUUCCUCUUUCAUCCAGAAACUAGCUACAUAGGUCGGCUCGAUUAGCGCUCCAGGGAACCAACUUUGAAAAUCCGUCCAGCUCGAUAGCUUCUCUCUUUCUCCCUCUCUACCUUUUUCUCAUUCAACGAGCAAACUUUUCGUAGGAAUCAUCACCACCAGGAACCACAAACAUACGAGUGAAAUAAGACGACAAAGCAAAAGGAGAAAAAAAGAACAGCGUCCAAGAAGCUAAAGCAAUCUCAUCGAGAGCAGAAGGAUCGACGCAUAGUUCUAACGGGCACGCGAGAUACGUAAUAUUCGAGAUCGGUGUCAUUACCGCGGAUGAAUAAUGGAACGUGUACAAAUGCGUUUCGAAAUCGGCGCUACUCGCGCGCUGUACGGAUAUCGCGAUCGUACCUUCGCGGCUUCGCCGAUGAUAAUCUUAACGAAAGGCGAAAGGAGAAGUUGGAAAAAAUCGAUACGUGUUUUAUCGUUACGUACUUCCUGGAACUUGGCGUUUUAGUUCGCACGUUGAAAAGUACCUCGUUGUUUCGAUACCGGAACGAAGAAAAUUUCAAUAAACGUAUUAAACUCUGAAAUAAAUGUUUUCCUUUGCUUCUAGAGGCAUCUCAGAAAAUAAAAAGACAGAGGGUCGUGUUCGUUUCAACGUACGCAGCGAGAUCCACUCGCUAAAAACCCUUACCGCGAUCCAAUUAUCAUUCCGCCAAUCAGCCCCGCGAGAAGGAUAUACGUACUACCUUCGCGCCAGUAAAAUUCAAAGUUACUAUUCCCCGGGUAACUUCCUCGGACGUGGAGGUAGUAAAGGAGAGGACAAUAAAAAGAACGAUAAAAAUUCCGCAAAAAUCUUGCUCCUUAAACGGGGUCGCCCGGUUGAAAUCCGACAGGCUGGCCGGCUUGCCAAGCUGCGCGCACGAUCCACCGACAAAAUAAUAAAAGUUUCACGAAAAAUCUACAUUCGAACGGGGUUAAGGCCGCGAGCUCACCGGUUACGACUCUCGGGACACCCGUUAGAAUAUCGCGAAGAAAAAUGACAUAAGACAUCCCUGUUCCGACUCGGGCGCCAUAUGACCGUCUCUGUCGCAAGCUCUUCCCCUCUGCCGGUUCUCCUUCCCCCACUACCGGCCGCCGAUAUCCUACUACCGUCAUUCCUUGCCCUCUCCUCCAAGCCAGCUAAGCCCCCUGCCCGCACCCACUCACCCACCCACUUACACCCCCGCACUUUCACGCACGCCACACAUAGAACCAGCGUCGUCACCACUACUACGCGCCAACGUCGACCGUAUCGCCCGUACUACUACCACUACUACUGCCACCACUUCCACCAAUCCAGUGACCAACGCUAAUUGCAGUCAGCUCAUCGUUUUCCGUAAGCAUAGGAUAGUCGGUGCUGAAAGAAAGGAGCACAGGCGACCCGAAAAAGCAGGACGAGCCGAAGGAGCGGAGAAAGAUAAAGAUAAAGGAACGGAAAGGUCGGAGAAACAGGGACGGAGAUAGGAGGAAGAAUAUCGCAGGAGGAAAAAGAGGAAAAGGAGGAAAAGGAGGAAAAGGGGGCCAAUUACGCGAGGCUAGAGAAUAGAAGACGGAAGAGAGAAGAGAGUAGUCGAGCUUGGAAGCAUAGCUUAGCGUGGACCGACACGGCAUAUCCAUAGACAUAUACACUGUGUCUAUGGGCAUAUCGACGAGAUCCGAGAGCGGCCGAGCACGACCGAGCCGGGCCGACUCGGACCCUGCGCGCUCAACCCAAACCGGAGGAAGCAUAGUUGCAUUUAAACUGCCAUCCCACUGAGGUCUCUCUUCCGUAGUGUUGGAGUAGUCUGCGCUGGCUGGGCCAGCCGCACUCGACGAGUACGUGUCGCGUACCUUGCACCGUUCACCCGCACUCUCUUGCACCAUAUAACCGGACACUCUCUCGCGUGUGACACUUGCUUCUGUCUGUCGCGCUCACCCUCUCGUACGCUUCUCGUCUCGUCUCGCCUCGCCUCCUCUCCGCUUUGUUUCGGGGAAAACGUGCGUCGGCUGGAUUCUCAACUUGCAAGAAAGAAAAAGGGUUUUCGUACGAGGAACGGACCCGAGCGUUUUCACGCCGAGUUCCUUCUCUAUCAAGACUCUUGUGCAUCCUGCUGAUUCAAGAACGAAAAACUUGGGAAUCGAGAAAGGAGAAGAAAGAAAAAAGGAAAGGGGGACGGCGGUAUCGGUCGUCGAGUAUCGAGAUCGAAAUGUUUCCGGAAUAAUAGCGUUCAGUCGCAAUUUUCACCUAUUCGACUAGAUGGCCAGAAUCUCGUGGAAAUCCAAUCGAUCCUACGGUGUCUGGAAUAAUCUUCUUUGUCUUGUUCGUGUCCGAGGAAACUCCAAGUUGAUUCAGUUGAGUGGACUAGCCGGGACUGUCAAAGUUGCGCCUCGGAGUCAGCUGCUUCCGUUACGUCGAGCCGCAGACCCGUGUCUAUAGGAUGUCCUCGAAACGCGCAUCGAGGUCUUCGUUUAUCUUUCGAGAGAUUUCGACCGAUCUUCGAUGAAAAAGAAAGAGACGAUGUACUUCUCGGGCAUCGAACAAAUAUAUACGAAUGGGCAGAUUUCGGAAAACGGUCGGGAAAGUAGACGUUGCCGUUUCACAUUUUCGUAUUCCCUUUGUCCAACUCGGUAGUAACUUGUUAGCCGGGCGCCUUGCAAUUUUAAACUCCGCCGCUCGUCGAAGAGAGAGCCUGCUCGUUUUUCCUCCGUGAAUCCCGACAGCUUUUCGCGUUCCCACCCGAUCAGCGAGAAUAACUUGUUGACUUUUCUCUCGUGAGGGCAACCGCGACUUUUUCACCUGUAUCGCACCAAUCGAAUUUAAAUUUCUACAACGAUCUUUAUCCGCUAUAAUAUUUUCUAAGAACUCGCGGUGAAUCUGUUUCGAUGCAAGCCAUCGUGUUCUUUAUUUUCGCAAAGAUUCUUCGAUUUGCUCGCAACGCUGUAUGCAUGUUACGCGGGGCCACGUCGAUCAAUAAAACACGGCUAUUUCGAUCCGUGAAUUACGUAAUUUCCCGAAUUUCCCUAGCCAAUCCUCGCUGCUCUUUUUUGUCAUUGUGCUAACGAAUUUUUCAUAUUUCUAACGAACAGAAGGCAAACGAGACGCAAAUAACAUCGGAAUUUACCGUAGCCGCCUUCACCGCUGUGCCAUUCUUCUCGUUCAAUUUCAUCACCGGUUUCUUUUUCGCAAUUUUUGCAAGAGAACGCACAGAGAAACCAUUAUGCCACUACGGUAGUCGUCGACUUGAAAUUAUCGAUUCCAUCGAAAACGUUUCUUUCGCUUGUACUUUUCGCUCACCACCUCGCUCACCAAGAACGCUUUAUCAGUUAAUUAGCCGAGUUAAUCAGUGUCGUUUCAAAAACAGAGGGGCAACGAAUUUUUCGGGAAUCUGUUUCGAGAUUUAUCGUGAUUUUCGAUGUUCUUGUGAUUCUUCGUCGAACGCGUUCCUAACCGAUAUUUUCCAACGCUCCGACGUUGGUAAUUGGACGUGGAAAUCACGUAUGACGUAAGAUUUCAUCGAGUAUUCAUCGGUGUAGAACGAACAGGAAGAUUCGAGGCGAGAAUUUCUUACGAGCUUGGUUUUACAAUGCAUUUUUCUCGUUCUCCACGACGAUUGGUCCAUACGAAAGGUAUCGAAACGCUGUUGCUACGUGCUCCGAUGGGGGCCACCUUUAAAGCCGAUAUCGCGGAACGAAGUACAUACUUACUUGCUAUGACCAGGCGAAAUGCUUAAAAGUCCGAGACCGAUGAUCUCGAUAAUCUUCUACGAUUUCUGUGCAAGGUCCAACAUUCUCGAUCGAAAGAGACUCUUCGUUCCACUUUUGACCUUUCCCAGCCCAUCGAUCGGUCUCUGCGAUUUCAAGACCUAACCUGCUCUUUCCUGCAAACCAUUCUUCGCUUCUCCAUUCGUAUUUUAAUGAAUUCUAAUCGUGUUUCGCCGAAAUGACGACCUUCGUCGAGAAGACGAUUUUCUUUCGACCGAUGAAACGGACGGAAACGUUAAUCGCCAACAGAUUGGAAAAUAUUCGAAAAUCGAGAGAGCUGACGCGACGACCAUAGCCCCCAAAGUGUCGUGUAUCGUGCGAGGCUCGUUUCAGAAUGAUUCCUUUGCUUCCGUUCCAUUCGCACUCGUAAGCGCGAAUUAUCGGCACGAGGCCAAACUCGCGCCCCUUUUUCGCGCCUCUGACAUUUAGUACGACGCUGUGCCAGCUUUGCCAGUCUCUUUACGUUUCUCGAAAUCGUCGCCUCUCGAAAUUAAUACAUCGUCGGAAAUCGGUUCGAUAUCGAUGUCGAAGAGAACAUAAACGAAUAAGGAACCGCGCGGAUUAAAGCGAAUAGUUUCAAAGAAAGAUGAAUCGAUGUGCGGCGUUGGAGUUAAAAGCGACAUCGUUCGGUGGAUGGCGCGCCGACAAAUUGUAAUUCCGAUUCGCAGCUUCUGCAGUUGUCGGUUGAUACCCGGUUCCGUGUCGCGGGCUCGUUACGAGCGACCAAAAGGUAAUUUCUUACUCGGCGUAAUAACACGUUCCUGUGUACACACAUCGUCGGCCACUUUUCCGCAACUAUUAGCCCAAUUAGCUCGGACCAGCUUCAUCGUCAACUGUUGCACGCGAGUUCUAACAACGAAUCGACGGAAUUGGACGCGGCAACUGCCUAUCGAUCAAUUAGCCAUUCCGUCGCAACUUUGCCCUUCCGUUUUUGAAAAUGUCAUUAAUCGGGAACGGAUAAUUUUUCGAUGGUUCGCAGCAAUUUCUAACUUGGAUUUUCUGGCCCGGAGACGCGCUUAAUCGUCGCGUCUGUUCCACGUUGGCGAGCUUUUAUCGAUCAAAAACGAUCUCGCCUGCAAUUCGUAGUUUAGAAAUUUCCAAGUACUUGUACAAACGUCCCUCGGGUUUUAUAUUUACAUUCUUCGUUUCCAUUGUCUUGACAUAUUUCGUAGCUUUAGCAGGAUAUUUUGGUGCGAAACUGCUCGUUUUAAGAGACUUCUUUCAAGAGAAAGCAAGAAGUUAAUUAGUUCGUGAUAAUUAAAAAAACUCGUUUCUUCCUUAAUGUUGGCUGCGGCUUGCCGAUUUCUAAAUAGUCAGUAGCUAAUUUCUAAUCUCUUAACUUCAGGUUCCUUAGAUGCGAAAUAAUUCGUUUCAUGAAACGAAAAUAUUUUUUACUUCGUAUCGUUUCGAACUUGUCGAUUCGCUAGCCUAAUUCUUUAUUUUCCAUCGAUUAAAUCGAAGAAUAAUAAAAAACAUUUGCCUCCGUCAAUUAAAACAGGUAUUCAUCUAAAUUCAUUCUCCCCCGACGCUUUAUCCAAUUUUAACUUCGAUCCUUUUAACUCCGACAAUAUCGAAAAACGAUUAAAAUCUUUCGAUGAAAAUCUUUCCAAAGCGAAGCUCUUCUUUCGUUUCCCUUUUUUCUUUUUUUUUUUUUUUUUUUUCUUGUUCGAAAAUGGUCUCUCGAUACUCGGCGCAGGCCGAGAGAAUUCGUCUGCCCUGUGAGAAAAUGAAUAGAAUCGAUCGAUCCGAGAAAGGGAGUAGUAAAUUCACGCGAGUGAUCGGGAAGGAUUGAUGAGAACGGUUCUUUCCAAGAGCGAGGAACAGACGACGAGCAUCGUUUUUCACGUUGGACGAAAUCGAGUUUAGACGCAACAGGGUCACAUGUGACGCCAUGCGAUCCCUAUGGAUGUACUUCAGAAGGGACUCUACUCUAGUUCUGGGAACCGAUAGACUUGAUAAAAUGUCUCUGCGUAUACGAAGGCGGAGACGUUAAAGAGACACGAGGACAUAAAAGAAACAGAGAUAGGAUACGUUGUUGAAUAAUACAUGCCAUUAUAUCAUCGACGAAAACAAAGUGAAAUAACACAGCAGUUACAUCUUUUAAUGUCGCUAUAGUCGGCAUCGGAGGAAUAGAUGGGAUAAAUAAA